RNAcentral lists this non-coding RNA (32 nucleotides) under Geobacter sulfurreducens KN400. Lineage: Bacteria; Pseudomonadati; Thermodesulfobacteriota; Desulfuromonadia; Geobacterales; Geobacteraceae. The record is from RNAcentral.
UUGAGCAGUAGGAGAACCACCAGGAAACCAUA